This 1216-nucleotide long non-coding RNA is filed under the name Salmo trutta (river trout). RNAcentral's name for it is "lncRNA (ENSSTUG00000046019.1)". Lineage: Eukaryota; Metazoa; Chordata; Actinopteri; Salmoniformes; Salmonidae. The record is from RNAcentral.
GAAAAACUUUGCAUCUGGAGCUAAAAGUAAAUCUGUCCUCUUUUGUCUUUGAAUACUUUACAUCUCUCUCUACUUCCUCUCCUCUCUCCUCUCUCUCUACUUCCUCCUCUCUCUCCUCUCUCUCUACUUCCUCCCCUCUCUCCUCUCUCUCUACUUCCUCCUCUCUCUCUCUCCUCUCUCUCUACUUCCUCCCCUCUCUCCUCUCUCUCUACUUCCUCCUCUCUCCCUCCUCUCUCUCCUCUCUCUCUACUUCCUCCUCUCUCUCCUCUCUCUCUACUUCCUCCUCUCUCUCCUCUCUCUCUACUUCCUCCUCUCUCCCUCCUCUCUCUCCUCUCUCCCUCCUCUCUCUGUCCCUUCUCUCUACUUCCUCCUCUCUCUUGACCUCCUCCUCUCGCUCUCCUCUCUCUCUACUUCCUUCUCUCUCUCCUCUCUCUCUACUUCCUCCUGUCUCUCCUCUCUCACCUCUCUCCCUCCUCUCUCUGUCCUCUCUCCUCUCUCUCUACUUCCUCCUCUCUCUCUACUUCCUCCUCUCUCCUCUCUCUCUACUUCCUCCUCUCUCCUCUCUCUCUACUUCCUCCUCCCUCUCUACUUCCUCCUCUCUCCUCUCUCUCUACUUCCUCCUCUCUCCCUCCUCUCUCUAUCCUCUCUCUCUACUUCCUCCUCUCUCUCCUCUCUCUACUUCCUCCUCUCUCCCUCCUCUCUCUAUCCUCUCUCUCUACUUCCUCCUCUCUCUCCUCUCUCUCUACUUCCUCCUCUCUCUCUCUCUCCUCUCUCUCUACUUCCUCCUCUCUCUCCUCUCUCUCUACUUCCUCCUCUCUCUCUACUUCCUCCUCUCUCCCUCCUCUCUCUCCUCUCUCCCUCCUCUCUCUGUCCCUUCUCUCUACUUCCUCCUCUCUCUUGACCUCCUCCUCUCUCUCUCCUCUCUCUCUACUUCCUCCUGUCUCUCCUCUCUCUCUACUUCCUCCUGUCUCUCCUCUCUCACCUCUCUCCCAUCUCUGUCCUCUCUCCUCCCUCUCUACUUCCUCCUCUCUCCUCUCUCUCUACUUCCUCCUCCCUCUCUACUUCCUCCUAUCUCCUCUCCUUUCUCUCUCCUCUCUCUCCCUCCUCUCUCUCCUCUCAAUUCAUUUCAAUUCAAGGGCUUUAUUGGCAUAGGAAACAUAUAUUUACAUUGCCAAAGCAAGUGAAGUAGAUAAUAAACAAAAGUGAAAUUAACAAU